This 491-nucleotide ribosomal RNA is filed under the name uncultured bacterium. Its description in RNAcentral is "bacterial SSU rRNA". It matches the Rfam family "Bacterial small subunit ribosomal RNA", at positions 28 to 510 of the family's 1533-position model. The record is from RNAcentral.
GAUGAACGCUAGCGGCAGGCUUAAUACAUGCAAGUCGAGGGGCAGCACGAAUAGCAAUAUUUGGUGGCGACCGGCAAACGGGUGCGGAACACGUACGCAACCUUCCCAAAACAGGUGAAUAGCCCUGCGAAAGUAGGAUUAAUACACCGUAAGAUAUAGAUGUGGCAUCAUAUUUAUAUUAUAGGUCGCAAGAUCGGUUUUGGAUGGGCGUGCGCCUGANAGGUAGUUGGUGCGGGUAACGGCCCACCAAGCCUCCGAUCAGUAACUGGUGUGAGAGCACGACCAGUCACACGGGCACUGAGACACGGGGCCCGACUCCUACGGGAGGCAGCAGUAAGGAAUAUUGGUCAAUGGACGAAAGUCUGAACCAGCCAUGCCGCGUGCAGGAAUGAAGGCCCUCUGGGUUGUAAACUGCUUUUAUCUGGGACGAAAAAGGGAAUUCUUUCUCACUUGACGUACCAGAGGAAUAAGCACCGGCUAACUCCGUGCCA